This 331-nucleotide long non-coding RNA is filed under the name Vigna radiata. RNAcentral describes it as "long non-coding RNA (VRAD_LNC004366)". The record is from RNAcentral. Lineage: Eukaryota; Viridiplantae; Streptophyta; Magnoliopsida; Fabales; Fabaceae.
CCCAUUAACUUCAUCUUCUCCAAAAAAACCCUAGCCGUCAGCCUGCUCCAUCAUCAUCCUCACCAGAACCACCAUCGUGCUACACAACCAUGAAUAGUUAGAGACAUAAGCUAAACCGAAUCCGGUGGAGGAUCCGAAAACGAACCUGGGUCACCCAACCAUCAAAUGGCUUUUCGCUUGGACGACGCGUGGGUUUGGGGGACGGUGGUAGAGCUUGGCAUAGAGGCGCUGGGGAAAGCCGUGCAUCCAGAGGAAGGAGACGAUGGCGAUGGAGAUGACGAAGACCUGUAGCGCGAUAUUGCGAAUCAUGCUCCAUUUUUGAAUUCUCGUG